RNAcentral lists this ribosomal RNA (561 nucleotides) under uncultured bacterium. RNAcentral describes it as "bacterial SSU rRNA". It matches the Rfam family "Bacterial small subunit ribosomal RNA", at positions 338 to 916 of the family's 1533-position model. The record is from RNAcentral.
CCUACGGGAGGCAGCAGUGGGGAAUAUUGGACAAUGGGCGAAAGCCUGAUCCAGCAAUGCCGCGUGAGUGAUGAAGGCCUUAGGGUUGUAAAGCUCUUUUACCAGGGAUGAUAAUGACAGUACCUGGAGAAUAAGCUCCGGCUAACUCCGUGCCAGCAGCCGCGGUAAUACGGAGGGAGCUAGCGUUGUUCGGAAUUACUGGGCGUAAAGCGUGCGUAGGCGGUGAUUCAAGUCAGAGGUGAAAGCCUGGAGCUCAACUCCAGAACGGCCUUUGAAACUAGAUCGCUAGAAUUAUGGAGAGGUAAGUGGAAUUCCGAGUGUAGAGGUGAAAUUCGUAGAUAUUCGGAAGAACACCAGUGGCGAAGGCGACUUACUGGACAUAUAUUGACGCUGAGGUACGAAAGCGUGGGGAGCAAACAGGAUUAGAUACCCUGGUAGUCCACGCCGUAAACGAUGAUAACUAGCUGUUCGGGCUCUCAGAGCUUGAGUGGCGCAGCUAACGCAUUAAGUUAUCCGCCUGGGGAGUACGGUCGCAAGAUUAAAACUCAAAUGAAUUGACGG